GAUGAACGCUGGCGGCGUGCCUAAUACAUGCAAGUCGAGCGAACGGACGAGAAGCUUGCUUUUCUGAUGUUAGCGGCGGACGGGUGAGUAACACGUGGAUAACCUACCUAUAAGACUGGGAUAACUUCGGGAAACCGGAGCUAAUACCGGAUAAUAUUUUGAACCGCAUGGUUCAAAAGUGAAAGACGGUCUUGCUGUCACUUAUAGAUGGAUCCGCGCUGCAUUAGCUAGUUGGUAAGGUAACGGCUUACCAAGGCAACGAUGCAUAGCCGACCUGAGAGGGUGAUCGGCCACACUGGAACUGAGACACGGUCAAGACGCCUAAGGGAGGCAGCAGUAGGGAAUCUGCCGCAAUGGGCGAAAGCCUGACGGAGCAACGCCGCGUGAGUGAUGAAGGUCUUCGGAUCGUAAAACUCUGUUAUUAGGGAAGAACAUAUGUGUAAGUAACUGUGCACAUCUUGACGGUACCUAAUCAGAAAGCCACGGCUAACUACGUG
Molecule: ribosomal RNA, 497 nt
Filed under: uncultured bacterium
Lineage: Bacteria
Description: partial 16S ribosomal RNA
Rfam family: Bacterial small subunit ribosomal RNA
Source: RNAcentral